CGGCAAAUUUCAGACUGAAAUAGUUGGUUGUAGGCGGGAAUUGUGUACAAAUCUGUUUGUGAUUUCAGUGUGGUAUCGUACAAUAACGACAGCACAAAGCUUCGAUUAAAGGUUGCUGGAUGGAUAAAAAUAAUCUAUGCAGGCGAGAAAAAGGAAAAACAGAAUUGACUUUACGUCCUUGGACCGGAUAUAAUACUGGUUUGAUUCGCGAAUUGAAAAGGGACGAACACAAGAAGCAAAAGGGCAAUCCAAACAGUUGAUCGAUCACAAAGGCAAUUACAGUUUCACAAAGAGCAUUCGGUGUGCACAUUGUCGUCCCACAAAUCGUCCGUACUCCAAUAAUUCCGCUCGUGUUUCAUCCGGACCAAGAGCCUGCAGAAAUCAAAAGACAAAGACAGAUUAAUUCUAUAAAAUAAAUAGACGAAAUGGACUUCGUUACAGGAUUAAUUUUGGUAUUCAAACUUUUGGGUGCAAAAUAUUCGUUAACUAUUCUGGAGAAAAUCUUUCAUAAGUUGUUUUAAAAUUUUAUUGAAAUGAAAGCAUCUACUUUCUCCGCCUGUUCGUGUACAGAGAUUUAAUGGAACAUUCUUUAUCAAUUAUUUCGGUUGUGACGCAUACUAAGAUUUCUCGAAAUCGAGUAUGCAUUCCAAAACUGCACAACGAUAACAAUCUUUCAACACUUUAAAAUUAAUUAUUUCAAUUUCAAUAUGCAUGUGUUUACCUCGAUAUUCAAUGUCCUUCUGAGAAAAUCCAAAACUUGAUCUACACUCUCUACGCAAAAUGACUGUAAUAUAAGCAAUAAAUAAUAUUCGUCGAAUGAAAACGAGAACGAAA
Molecule: long non-coding RNA, 834 nt
Organism: Hermetia illucens (black soldier fly)
Lineage: Eukaryota; Metazoa; Arthropoda; Insecta; Diptera; Stratiomyidae
Exons: 2
Source: RefSeq, a predicted model, not a curated record